Octodon degus (degu) is the source of this 2945-nucleotide long non-coding RNA. RefSeq lists it as uncharacterized. The transcript has 2 exons. The record is from RefSeq and is a predicted model, not a curated record. Lineage: Eukaryota; Metazoa; Chordata; Mammalia; Rodentia; Octodontidae.
CCCCACGCGCUCCGCGUCCCCGCCGGGGCCCGCACCGCCGCCCCGGGCGCACCGUACCUCUUCCUCCUGCAGUCUGCCACGACGGACAAGAGAACUCGAGGGACAGCGGGGACAGACCGCAACCGGUGGGCUUUUUCAAUACGCUUCCUCCACCCCACCUCAAAGGCCCUGGGCCUGGGAAACCUCUCCAGCCCACCCGACGGACUGCUCUUUCCGUGAGGCUUCCCGAAACCCCUGACCGGACUGCUGUGCCCUUUCAGAUUGUUCUGGAGCCAACUGUGUACCUGGCCGGCUCACUCUUGGGGAGCUCCUUCCUGGAACACAAGACCCUGCCCUGUUUGUCUUUUUAAUCCCACAGCUAUUUCAAUGGACUACCUGGUAUACAGUAGUUAGUUAAGUGAAUGCGCCUCGCUGCCAGCAGAUCUAGAAGGUCAACACGGACGAUCUCCCGAGAUACAAAGCACCAAGUACCCAGCAAUUGGUGUGGUUGCCCACAAACCCAGAAGCACCGCAGAGCUGCGAUUCCCUUAUGAAAUAGGACAGCCGUGCUUUUCUCUCCCAGGGUUUUAGAGAUUACAGAUUGAUAGAGUCAUAACAUUUAGCACUCUUGUUCUUGCCUGGGUUAGGUUUACUCUACAAGGAAGCUAACAUUAUUAUUAAGUUUCCAUUUUCUCUGGACCCUAGAGAGCUUUUCCAAUAGGGAGAUCAAUUAAGCUUUUAAACCUGACUGCUGCAAAGUUAAAAAUCUUAACCCCUCAGUAAAUUCUGUCUCACUUCUCACUUAGGAAUUUUCUCACAGACCAGGGGUUCUUUCGCCCACAGCACCAAUCAUGAUUUCUAAUUAUUUGCUUGCUGAACUGUUUAUCUUUUUACCCCCACUAGAAAUUCUUUACCCUGCACUGGUUUAAGUGCUGCCGGUGGUAGGGUGGAGGGGGCAGUAGGAGUUGAAGAUAAGGGCCCUGCCUUGAGGGAAUUUAAAGUGGUGUUGUGGAGACAAGAUACCCCAAACAGCUGCGCAGAGACAUAAUCCAGAAUCCUGGUUCAGAUUAUAGAAAGCGCACACACAUUUUUUUUUUUUUAAGUUUAAAGGUGCUAUGAAAAGAGUAGUGAUGCUUAGACUCACACAUUGAGUUUUUCUUGGACAUCUGGAGAUUUUGAACGUGUUUCUACAUGGAAAAAAAAAAAAAGUUUCUGUCCUUUCAUUGCUGUCAUAAUGUCAUUGCUCUCCAUGGGAACAACAGUGUAUCCGGGAAGGAAAUGAACCAAGAGUCUGUGGAAACUACAACUGAAGACAUUCGAAGCAGGGCUGAGAUCGGGAAACUUUUAGUGUAUUGAUUAUAUUAAUUAGCAGCCCUUCCCAAGGCCAGCUUUGUCCUGUUACCGGAGGAACCACGAGGGGGCAAUAUCUUCCUGAGCAAGGGCUGAGUGGUGGUCUUGGACCCCUGUGCUGGCCAGAAAUCCCAGGACUUUGCGCUUCUGGGUCAUUCUUGCCUAUCAUGAGUGCGUCCCACAGAAAGGCAUUGUUUUUCUGGAGCCUGGCAGGGACCCAAGGAAAAUGACAGUUAAUCUAGUCCUUGAUGGUUCCAGUCAGACCCCACUUAAGAGCAGAUGGAACAUGUUGUAUGAUCUCAGGAUGCUGGAAGAACUUUCCCUUCCCCCAUACAGGGGAAGGUGGCUUAAUUCCAAAUAUAGAACCUGAAUUUUUUUUUUUUUUUUUCUUUAGGCCAAACCGGGACUUUGUCCAUUGUUAAAAGUCAGAAACCUCUGGGAUAAGAAACAAAAAUAAGUUCCAUGAGAGGAGCCUUGUCUGGUUUGUUCAUUGUGUUCUCAAUCUCUAUACAAUACUUGACACAUAGGGGCCAGGGAGAUGGCUCAGUAGAAUAAGCACCUCCUUGGCAAGCACAAGGGCCUGAGUUCAAUCCCCGGUUCCACCAAAAAAAAAAAAAAAAAAAGAAAAGAAAACCUUAACACAUAGUAGGUACUCAGUUACUUUGGAAUGAAUGAUCACAUUAAGUUUUAGCAGCUACUUUUUCUUGGACUUGAACAACAUUAGAUUUACUCAAGAUCCAGGAGGAAAGAAUGGAUUAGCAGAAGUGUCUUAGAAUAGAGAGCCACAUGUCACUAGACAGGUCUUUCUUUAUUUUGCAGGAGGCAGGCCCUAAAAGAAGACCUUGAACAAAGUGAGACAAUUGAGAUUUCAAAGAAAUAAAAAGGGAACUGAUAUCAGUAUAUUGACACUUCAGACAAUAAAAUUGAUAAGCCAACAGAAUUUCUUAAAGUCUAUAGUUGGGGAGGUGAGGGUCAAUGCAGUGUUCUCAGCAGAGUAUAUGAUGGGAUAACAUGCCUGGAUGAAAGGAAUUUCUGUUUCCUGUCAUUUCCCCAAGGAAUGGUUUAGACUUAUUUGGAAGAAAAGUUGAAUAAUGUAUGACUAACAAAACCUAGGGGAAAAAAAAAUCUGUAAAUAGACCUUCAUUAUUUAUAAAACCUUGUGACUUGAGUGUGUAUGGGGGAGUAUACACAUGCACGUGUGCGUGUGUUGGGAGGGAGGACCAUACACUCAGGCCAUAAAUAAUCCUGAUGACUUGUUUACUACUUCAAAGAAAGUAAGUUUCAAAAGUGAGAUCUCUUCAGUAGCGAUAGUUUCCAGGCAUACUAAGAGUUAUAAGACAACAAAGAGAUUUUAUAUUGCGGAAAAAUUGGGCUAAUGACCAAGAAACAUCUGCCCCUCUCCCCUGUCCACUGCCCUACUAUAUUUCUGUCUGGCCUACAAGGUUACAUGCCAGAGUCAAGGGGAAACAUCAUAUGCACCUGUAGUUUUUAUUGCUCAUCACUGUUUCUCUGGCACUGUUCCUUUUGAGGCUUGCAUUAAGAAAUCCAAACCCAUAAUUAUGUCUUAAAUGUUUGUCUCUGGGAAUUGCAGACAUUAAAAGGCUAUUUUGAGGCUA